GACGGGGGAUGCAAGUGUUAUCCGGAAUCACUGGGCGUAAAGCGUCUGUAGGUGGUCAAAUUAGUCAACUGUUAAAUCUUGAGGCUCAACCUCAAAAUCGCAGUCGAAACUAUUCGACUAGAGUAUAGUAGGGGUAAAGGGAAUUUCCAGUGGAGCGGUGAAAUGCGUAGAGAUUGGAAAGAACACCGAUGGCGAAGGCACUUUACUGGGCUAUUACUAACACUGAGAGACGAAAGCUAGGGUAGCAAAUGGG
RNAcentral lists this ribosomal RNA (253 nucleotides) under uncultured bacterium. RNAcentral describes it as "partial 16S ribosomal RNA". It matches the Rfam family "Bacterial small subunit ribosomal RNA", at positions 524 to 776 of the family's 1533-position model. The record is from RNAcentral.